AACGAACGCUGGCGGCAGGCCUAACACAUGCAAGUCGAGCGGACCCUUCGGGGUUAGCGGCGGACGGGUGAGUAACGCGUGGGAAUAUGCCCUUCUCUACGGAAUAGUCCCGGGAAACUGGGGGUAAUACCGUAUACGCCCUUUGGGGGAAAGAUUUAUCGGGGAAGGAUUAGCCCGCGUUGGAUUAGGUAGUUGGUGGGGUAAUGGCCUACCAAGCCGACGAUCCAUAGCUGGUUUGAGAGGAUGAUCAGCCACACUGGGACUGAGACACGGCCCAGACUCCUACGGGAGGCAGCAGUGGGGAAUGGUAGACAAUGGGGGCAACCCUGAUCUAGCCAUGCCGCGUGAGUGAUGAAGGCCUUAGGGUUGUAAAGCUCUUUCAGCUGGGAAGAUAAUGACGGUACCAGCAGAAGAAGCCCCGGCUAACUCCGUG
Molecule: ribosomal RNA, 433 nt
Filed under: uncultured bacterium
Lineage: Bacteria
Description: partial 16S ribosomal RNA
Rfam family: Bacterial small subunit ribosomal RNA
Source: RNAcentral